Cucumis sativus (cucumber) is the source of this 527-nucleotide long non-coding RNA. RefSeq lists it as uncharacterized. Lineage: Eukaryota; Viridiplantae; Streptophyta; Magnoliopsida; Cucurbitales; Cucurbitaceae. The record is from RefSeq and is a predicted model, not a curated record. The transcript is spliced from 2 exons.
CUAUGUGCAAGAAGCUGAUGUUUCUUUCAUCCAUGUUCGUCGUUGGAAUAAUGUUUUGGCUCACUCAUUGGCGUCCAAGGCGUUGAAAGAGAAGAGAGGGAACCUACUUUGAGGAAUAAGACUCAAGAGGAAGGGAAAAGAUCUCAACGUGUGCCAAAGGGAAAUCAUCUAUUCUUGGAACCGGCUUUGUUGAGGUCAUGAAAGUCGACGCACACGAGGACUCUGCCCCCCUUUUUCGAGAAAGAGAGAUAGGAAAGAGAAACUUCUGAUCGAAGAACUAAGCUUCAACAGAAGAAAAACUAAGCAGACUUGUGAUAUUGGUCUUACCCUUCUUCCAAAACCUCGAGUGACUAUCCUUCCUCUUCCUCUGUAGCAACUGACAAUACAAAUCUUCCCUUACUUUAUUCUUCUUUAGAAAAUCAAUAGAAAGGUUUUUGUUGCUUCUUCCGAUGUGAUUCUCUAGUAGUUUUGUUGUUCGUUUUCUCAAAAAAAAAUUAUCAUUCUAAUAAAGAUCCAGAAUUAUGAUU